RNAcentral lists this unclassified non-coding RNA (257 nucleotides) under plant metagenome. Its description in RNAcentral is "partial contains small subunit ribosomal RNA, internal transcribed spacer 1, and 5.8S ribosomal RNA". The stretch from base 1 to 53 matches the Rfam family "Eukaryotic small subunit ribosomal RNA", at positions 1779 to 1831 of the family's 1831-position model. The record is from RNAcentral.
GGAGUAAAAGUCGUAACAAGGUUCCCGUAGGCGAACCUGCGGAAGGAUCAUUACCGAGCGAGGGCCCUCUGGGUCCAACCUCCCACCCGUGUCUCUUGCACCUCGUUGCUUCGGCGGGCCCGCCUCACGGCCGCCGGGGGGCAUCUCGCCCCCGGGCCCGCGCCCGCCGAAGACACCCACGAACUCUGUCUGAAGAAUGCAGUCUGAGUGAAAUGAUAAAUUAUUUAAAACUUUCAACAACGGAUCUCUUGGUUCCG